Molecule: long non-coding RNA, 185 nt
Filed under: Anser brachyrhynchus (Pink-footed goose)
Lineage: Eukaryota; Metazoa; Chordata; Aves; Anseriformes; Anatidae
Description: lncRNA (ENSABRG00000006052.1)
Source: RNAcentral
AUUUCACUAAGGGGCAGGAAAAUAAUCAUCUUGGAGGACUUUCCACUUCAAUCAUUGCACCACAGGAGAGCCUUAGUUUGUGUCUGAAUCAAACCUCUCAGGGAAUCCUUUCAAGGCCAUUUUCUUUUUCUGAGAAAUGGCUGAUCUUUUCUGAAGCACACGCAUAAGCACAAAGCAGAAUUAGC